RNAcentral lists this ribosomal RNA (504 nucleotides) under Triticum aestivum (bread wheat). RNAcentral describes it as "partial small subunit ribosomal RNA". The record is from RNAcentral. Lineage: Eukaryota; Viridiplantae; Streptophyta; Magnoliopsida; Poales; Poaceae.
AUGAAGGUUUCUCGGUCAGAAGAAGGCAAGGUCACCGACUGGUGCGCCCACAACCCCAAGAACACCAACGCCGGCGGCUACCACAAGACCGUCAACAAUGGUGGCUCCGCGCGUGCCCUCAACAACGUCACCAAGGGUGACUACACCUGUGGCCUCAAGAUCGUCAGCAAGAGUGGCUUCCUCCACCGCAUCAAGAACAACGUCAACAACGGCAAAUCAGUCCGCGACCUCAAGAACUUUAACAACUGCAAAUCCGUAUGCAACCUCAAGAACGUCAACAACGACAAAUCUGUCCGCAACCUCAAGAACGUCAACAACGGCAAAUUCGUCCAUGGCCUCAAGAACGUCAGCGGCAUCAGUGACGGUGGCUCCUUCUGCAACCUCAAGAAUGUCAACAAGAGCCGCUCAGUCUGCUGCGACCUCAAGAGCGUCAACAGGAGCAACGGUGGCUUGAAACCGGUCGACGACACUGCAGCCAGGUGCGCCGACCUCAAGAACGGCUAG